CGGCCGCGCAGCGGGCGGUGGCCGACCGCGACGCCUACUACGUGUCGCAGUGGUUCGCCGACCAGGGGUUCGCCGUGAUCGUCGCGGACGGACGA
RNAcentral lists this transfer RNA (95 nucleotides) under Paractinoplanes durhamensis. Its description in RNAcentral is "Actinoplanes durhamensis tRNA-Ser". Lineage: Bacteria; Bacillati; Actinomycetota; Actinomycetes; Micromonosporales; Micromonosporaceae. The record is from RNAcentral.